GAUGAACGCUAGCGGCAGGCCUAACACAUGCAAGUCGAGGGAUAAGCCUUCGGGCUAAGACCGGCGCACGGGUGCGUAACGCGUAUACAAUCUGCCUUUUAUCCGGGGGAUAGCCCGAAGAAAUUUGGAUUAAUACCCUAUGGUAUAAGAGCACGGCAUCGUGCACUUAUUAAAGCUACGGCGGUGAAAGAUGAGUAUGCGUUCUAUUAGCUAGUUGGAGAGGUAACGGCUCCCCAAGGCGACGAUAGAUAGGGGUUCUGAGAGGGAUGUCCCCCACACUGGUACUGAGAUACGGACCAGACUCCUACGGGAGGCAGCAGUGAGGAAUAUUGGACAAUGGUCGGAAGACUGAUCCAGCCAUGCCGCGUGCAGGAUGACGGCCUUAUGGGUUGUAAACUGCUUUUGUAAGGGAAGAAUAAGGAGUACGUGUACUUUGAUGACGGUACCUUACGAAUAAGCAUCGGCUAACUCCGU
This 474-nucleotide ribosomal RNA is filed under the name uncultured bacterium. RNAcentral's name for it is "partial 16S ribosomal RNA". It matches the Rfam family "Bacterial small subunit ribosomal RNA", at positions 28 to 506 of the family's 1533-position model. The record is from RNAcentral.